CACGGGGGGAGCAAGCGUUGUUCGGAAUCACUGGGCGUAAAGGGCGUGUAGGCGGUCAAGUAAGUGGAAUGUGAAAGCCCCCGGCUUACCCGGGGAUCUGCAUCCCAAACUGCUUGGCUUGAGUACGGGAGAGGAUAGGGGAAUUCCUGGUGUAGCGGUGAAAUGCGUAGAUAUCAGGAGGAACACCGGUGGCGAAGGCGGCAUCCUGGACCAACACUGACGCUGAGGAGCGAAAGCCAGGGGAGCAAACGGG
This 253-nucleotide ribosomal RNA is filed under the name uncultured bacterium. Its description in RNAcentral is "partial 16S ribosomal RNA". It matches the Rfam family "Bacterial small subunit ribosomal RNA", at positions 524 to 776 of the family's 1533-position model. The record is from RNAcentral.